UGAAACACAUAUUUUUUUUUCCUACCCCUUUCCAAACAAUGAGAUUACUAAGAGACAGGGCCAGUUCCAACCACAGCUGCACCCACAUCCAUGAAGGGGGGACCAGAUGGUGAAGGAUGGGGAUGUUUGGACCAGAUCUGAGAUCCCAAAAAAGCUUUUCAGGAGAUGCUGGAUCCAGGAUAUGAACCUGGGUCUUCCAGUCUGGCAUUCCAAUGCUUUAUCACUCAGCCAUCCACUGCAAAUAUUUAGAUCUAUCAUACAUCAAUUCCUUGAAAUGCCCAAGAUCAGUUUGCCCACAAAUAGCAAUUGAUGAGGCCACAACAGCUUUCAUUCUUGUGUAAUAACAAUAGAUGAUCUUCAAGAC
RNAcentral lists this long non-coding RNA (364 nucleotides) under Androctonus crassicauda. Lineage: Eukaryota; Metazoa; Arthropoda; Arachnida; Scorpiones; Buthidae. The record is from RNAcentral.